This 492-nucleotide ribosomal RNA is filed under the name uncultured bacterium. RNAcentral describes it as "partial 16S ribosomal RNA". It matches the Rfam family "Bacterial small subunit ribosomal RNA", at positions 29 to 507 of the family's 1533-position model. The record is from RNAcentral.
AGUGAACGCUGGCGGUAGGCCUAACACAUGCAAGUCGAACGGCAGCACAGUAAGAGCUUGCUCUUACGGGUGGCGAGUGGCGGACGGGUGAGGAAUACAUCGGAAUCUACUUUUUCGUGGGGGAUAACGUAGGGAAACUUACGCUAAUACCGCAUACGACCUACGGGUGAAAGCAGGGGAUCUUCGGACCUUGCGCGAUUGAAUGAGCCGAUGUCGGAUUAGCUAGUUGGCGGGGUAAAGGCCCACCAAGGCGACGAUCCGUAGCUGGUCUGAGAGGAUGAUCAGCCACACUGGAACUGGGACACGGUCCAGACUCCUACGGGAGGCAGCAGUGGGGAAUAUUGGACAAUGGGGGCAAGCCUGAUCCAGCCAUACCGCGUGGGUGAAGAAGGCCUUCGGGUUGUAAAGCCCUUUUGUUGGGAAAGAAAAGCAGCAGGUUAAUACCCCGCUGUUCUGACGGUACCCAAAGAAUAAGCACCGGCUAACUUCGUG